AUAGAUGCUACUCAGAAAUUGUUCCAAAAAUUCAUAAAAAAAAUUACAUGUCCAACCGAAAAUAAAAAUAAAAAUAAAUGAAAAUGAAAAUUGUUCUAAAAAUACAAAAUAUGUUUUCCAACAAAUCAACUCUUCUUCUUCACUUUGGGAUCUUCAUCAUCCCACCGGCUCAAUUUUCUUCGGUCAACUUUCUUGAUUUGUCUACUGUACGGUGCUUCAAUUUCCACCGCCCCUUUCUCUUUCAGCUCCUUUAUUAUCCACUCCUUCCUUUGAUAUUUCACUUUGCUUCCCCGUCGGAGUGGUUCUUCUCUUGAUUUUGGGUGAAUGGUUCUCCUUCCUUUAUGCACUAGUGCCUGCAAAACAUUACAACUAUCAGAAUAAUUAGUAUCCGACAUGCUCUCUUCUUGUUUAGCUUCUCUCUCCGGCUCCUCAUGUCUGGACCUUUUCAUCACUUUAAUCUUGUUC
Molecule: long non-coding RNA, 465 nt
Filed under: Vigna radiata
Lineage: Eukaryota; Viridiplantae; Streptophyta; Magnoliopsida; Fabales; Fabaceae
Description: long non-coding RNA (VRAD_LNC012080)
Source: RNAcentral